Molecule: non-coding RNA, 906 nt
Organism: Megalopta genalis
Lineage: Eukaryota; Metazoa; Arthropoda; Insecta; Hymenoptera; Halictidae
Source: RefSeq, a predicted model, not a curated record
UAGAUAAAUGAAGUUCUAACAGCACUUUCAUUUUUGCAUUUCUAAUUUAUAGCUGCUUUUAACAAAAAUUGCAAAAAUGGAAAACAAAUUUUCAUGAACAAUAGUAUAAACGUAACGACCGGAACACAAAUGGCAGAAUACGCUUGUUAUAUAAAAGUUCAGUUUACUCUUAAUGUUUGAUCGAGAAUUAUGUCCUGCUGCAGAAGAACCGAGAAAUUUGAACAAUUUCCUUGCGACGGUUGUUGUGUGAACAACUGUGAUACUGAAGAUAGAAGAUGUGUGAUAUCAAAUCCCCAAACUCAUUACUGCUUUUGUCAAAUUUGCGGAGGAUGCUAUGCUUACGAUGAUGGCAACAAUUGUCACUCCAAUGUUAAUACUACCAUCAAGACAUACACAAACCCAUGUCAAUGUGCCAAAGAAAUAAUGUGGAAUAGCUGUGUACCACCUAAACCAGACUGCAGAUGGUUUUCAAACUUUUCUGAAUUACGCAGACAGUGGAGUAAUCAUGCUCGCCAACAAAAUUGUAAAUGUUGUAAGUGUAGGCAAAGGUAAGAAAAAGUAAGAUCUUACGUUUGCAGAGGUCAAACGGACUUCAUCUGUGAGGAAGUACUUUUGCACCAAAGAAAAUCGACUUUAAUUCGUGUAAAAUUUAGAUCUGUUCCAUUUACAUUAGGUAAAGCAACUCAGGCCGGAGAAUUCUUAAUUGAAUAAUUAUAUAAAAAAAAAAAAAUAAGAAAAAAAAUUGCAUUUCUAUCAAGCUCGUGACAAUGAAUAACAACAUGAAAAUUAUUUAUUGGAACAAUAUAAAAAAUGUCAUUGAGGUAUGCUUAUAGUUUAUCUGUCUUCCAACUUGCAGUGACAAAUUUUUGAUACAUUAAAAAUAAAAAAAUAUGCUACGUGGGGAAA